This 301-nucleotide ribosomal RNA is filed under the name uncultured bacterium. RNAcentral describes it as "partial 16S ribosomal RNA". It matches the Rfam family "Bacterial small subunit ribosomal RNA", at positions 509 to 807 of the family's 1533-position model. The record is from RNAcentral.
CAGCAGCCGCGGUAAUACGUAGGGUGCAAGCGUUAAUCGGAAUUACUGGGCGUAAAGCGUGCGCAGGCGGUUAUAUAAGACAGUCGUGAAAUCCCCGGGCUCAACCUGGGAACUGCGAUUGUGACUGUAUGGCUAGAGUGUGUCAGAGGGGGGUAGAAUUCCACGUGUAGCAGUGAAAUGCGUAGAUAUGUGGAGGAAUACCGAUGGCGAAGGCAGCCCCCUGGGAUAACACUGACGCUCAUGCACGAAAGCGUGGGGAGCAAACAGGAUUAGAUACCCCUGUAGUCCCUGUCUCUUAUAC